AGGUGCAGCUAACGUUCCUGCGGUGUCUCUGUCCCAGAAAAGACCGGUGUGUGGUCCCGUGUGCGCCAUCUUCUGUAAAUGUGGGAAUAUCCCUGAUGAGAGAGGAUGUCCAACGUGUCGUUGUCGACCAUGUGGACCGUCAAUCUGCCCCCUUACGUCGCUGUGCUCGACCAAUCGAAUGUCGUUUUGGGGUAAAGAAAGUGAACGGUUGCCCCACGUGUGAGUGUAAUCCUGGCCCUGCCGAUUGCUCCAAGGUCGGGUGCCCACCAGAUGUCGCUAUCAAGUGUGUAUGGCGUCAAGAUAAUAAAUGGCUGUCCUUCGUGUUCCUGCAACUCUGGUCCAGUGUGUCCAAAGCGCCGUUGUUUCAGGAUAUGCAAGAACGGCUUUAAAAUGGUCAAUGGUUGUCAAUCAUGUCUGUGCAAUCCAGGUCCAAGUACCUGCCCCAAGAUACGCUGCUCCCUGCUCCAGGCGUGCCGUUUUGGCGUGCAGAAAGUAAACGGUUGCCCCUA
Molecule: long non-coding RNA, 509 nt
Organism: Haliotis rubra (blacklip abalone)
Lineage: Eukaryota; Metazoa; Mollusca; Gastropoda; Lepetellida; Haliotidae
Exons: 5
Source: RefSeq, a predicted model, not a curated record